CAAUUGGCCCUUUUCAGGGCCAACAAAUGUGUAUUAAAUUAAUUA
Molecule: non-coding RNA, 45 nt
Organism: Aedes aegypti (yellow fever mosquito)
Lineage: Eukaryota; Metazoa; Arthropoda; Insecta; Diptera; Culicidae
Source: Rfam